CAAUAGCGUAUAUUAAAGUUGUUGCAGUUAAAAAGCUCGUAGUUGGAUUUCGGGGCAGCCUGGCUGGUCCGCCGCAAGGCGAGUACUGGUCAGCCGCCCUUCCUCUCGAAAGCCCCGACUGCUCUUCGUUGCAGUGGUCGGGUAGUUCGGGACGUGUACUUUGAAAAAAUUAGAGUGUUCAAGGCAGGCCUACGCCUGAAUACAUUAGCAUGGAAUAAUGGAAGAGGACCUCGGUCCUAUUUUGUUGGUUUCCAGGGCCGAAGUAAUGAUUAAGAGGGACAGUUGGGGGCAUUCGUAUUUAAUUGUCAGAGGUGAAAUUCUCGGAUUUAUGAAAGACGAACAACUGCGAAAGCAUUUGCCAAGGAUGUUUUCAUUAA
Molecule: ribosomal RNA, 377 nt
Filed under: uncultured eukaryote
Lineage: Eukaryota
Description: partial 18S ribosomal RNA
Rfam family: Eukaryotic small subunit ribosomal RNA
Source: RNAcentral